CCCUUAGAUGUUCUGGGCCGCACACGCGCUACACUGAAGGAGGCAGCGUGUACUCCUGGAUCGAAAGAUUUGGGUAACCCGCGAAUCUCCUUCGUGCUAGGGAUUGAGGUUUGCAAUUAUCCUUCAUGAACGAGGAAUUCCCAGUAAGUGCAAGUCAUAAGCUUGCGCUGACUACGUCCCUGCCCUUUGUACACGCCGCCCGUCGCUACUACCGAUUGAAUGAUUUAGUGAGGACUUCGGACUGGGACCGAUGCGGCUUUCGGGCUGCGUCGGUAUUCUGGAAAGAUGUCCAAACUGUAUCAUUUAGAGGAAGUAAAAGUCGUAACA
Molecule: ribosomal RNA, 327 nt
Filed under: uncultured eukaryote
Lineage: Eukaryota
Description: partial 18S ribosomal RNA
Rfam family: Eukaryotic small subunit ribosomal RNA
Source: RNAcentral